CAACAAUACCGGUAGUAAAAGCGACUCCAUCACAAGGUGCUCUCAAGGGAGGUGGUCAUGGAAAGUUGGCCCUCAGUCACUCUGAUGAGCCAGCGCUAGUCAACUACUGCCUUAUAAUGAGUGACUGGGGGUUUCCACUAACCAAAGACUUGGUGUGCAAAUUUGCCGUGGCUGUUGGUCAAAAUAGGAAUGUGCACUUUUCAGCGUAGAACGGCUGGUGGAAUCGUUUCAUGAAUCGACAUCCAAAGUUAUCCCCAAGAAAACCGGGACAGAUAAAUAGAGGGCGAGCGGUAAUGUCAGAGAAAACAGUUGCGGGUGGUUUUUCAUUUUGCUCAAAGAUACGCGGGUAAAGCAUAAUCUUGAAGGAAAACCGGGUUGCAUCUAUAACUGUGAUGAAACAUAUUUUCAGUCUCAGGCAAGCACAAAAAUUGUAGCUGCGAAAGGAAAGACCUUUCCUUACGAGAGGUCGAUCACUUCC
Lingula anatina is the source of this 478-nucleotide long non-coding RNA. NCBI's taxonomy places the organism in Eukaryota, Metazoa, Brachiopoda, Lingulata, Lingulida, Lingulidae. The record is from RefSeq and is a predicted model, not a curated record.